Dendrobium catenatum is the source of this 5615-nucleotide long non-coding RNA. RefSeq lists it as uncharacterized. The record is from RefSeq and is a predicted model, not a curated record. The transcript has 6 exons. NCBI's taxonomy places the organism in Eukaryota, Viridiplantae, Streptophyta, Magnoliopsida, Asparagales, Orchidaceae.
GUUUGCCCUAAAUCACAGGUGCGUUUGGAUUGACGACAGACCUCUCUUCCCCGCUUACUUUCCCUCGCCUAAACCUCUUGGUCGGCGUGGCGUCUCCUCCCAUGGCUGGUUUCAUUGAUUUGAUGGAUUCGUCUCAUCUCCAAUCUCGUUUUGCCACUAAAUUCCUGAUAGUGAUAUUGAAUUGAUGGCGCAGUGGCUUCUCCUGGUUUUCGGUGGAUCGGGGUCUCAGGCCUCGGAUCUGGAUGAAAUUGGAGCAGAUCCCGUCUUCGCUGCUAUUGUUUUCUUCUUUCAUGCGUGGAUAUUGAGAAGCCCGAAAGUUUUAUAGGUGGAUUGUCCGUUGUCAUGUUAUGCGAUCACACUUUUUGCAGAUGGAUGGUUUUAAAAUCGCGUAUUUGAAGCGAUAUUUAAUUUGCGCGGUUUCACUGCAAGUUUUGCUAGAUUUUUCACCGGAUAUGGAAAACCUUGUCUUCUGCUCAGAUGCAUAGCUUGGAUACCGAAGUUUCUUCCCGUUCACAAAAUUUUUUGAAGGCUGAAGAUGGUAUGGUAAAAUACUAAAAUCUAUUUGUUGUAUCUGAUGAUAUAUUAUUUGUUGUCUGCUCUUGGCCUUUGCCAUGCUGGGUGCGCUCGCAUGGCAGGCCACCAAACCUAAUAAAAUCUAUAUUUUUUGGGUGCUUUCUUGGGGAGAUCGCACGGGGCUGAAAGUUUUUUACCCGGGUUCUCCCCAAGAUUUUCUUCUUGCUUUUUCGCUUGCUUUUUGUUUCAUCUAAUUUUGACAUCUAGGUUUAGCGUGUGGUUUAUCAACUUAGGCGGAACAUGCUCGCGUUGACUGUGGCCUGAACUCUGAAUCGUUAUCCAAACGCUAUCAAUCUAACAAGAGGACGCGCUUGCACUAGAAUCUAGGUUCUGAAGAACCUGACAAGGUAUAAACAAUCGUUAAUCCUUAAAUUAAUCAAUACUGACGUGGUUUACAAUCAGGAAAUUUCUCAUUACAAUUGAUGAAAGAUUCCUAUCCCCAUCCUUUUGUGCUUUAAUCGUUCAGUGUCGUGCUCGAGUGCUGGCAAAUAAUACUUUUCACAGAUAGUACAGAGUCUUUACUUGUUACCUUAAAGUUUCUCUGAAUUCACGUUAAUCACAUAUCCAUUGGAAGUUGCGCAUGCUGUUUCGUUUGUUUGUGUAUGGAUCGUCCGCUAAUCAUUUACCGUAUGAGUUUCAUCUUCAGUUUAUCUCUUUGGUCGUGAUGUUGUGUUCAUAGUUCAUUCUGGUGCUAGAAAAUGAUGCUGAUUUUCUCACUCUACUGAUGAAAUCUACUGGUUUAAAUACUUUAAAGUAUUGGCGGCUAUAGUUUUUUUGGCUACUCUAUAUGUUUCUCCUAAAAAACGUCAUUCUAUUGUUCUCAUCUUGUUGCAAAAAAGCAGUUAGGGCAUCUCCAACCGAAAACUCCAUUUCCACUCUAAAAUACCCUAAAACUUCAAAAUGUGGCGGCUUAUCUCCAAUAGAACUCAAUUUUUCUUUGUAUGCUAGCUUCUUUGAGAAGGUAAACAUCUCUCUCAUGUUUCGCACGUUUCUUGUGAUUGUGAAGGUAAUCUUUUUUUUUUUUGCAUAGGUGAACAGUCCAACGCCAAUAUUGGUGUUAGACUGUUCUCAUAUUGUUUUUUGGCGUGAAAUUUGGAGUUCUAAUGAAGUGAUUCACGAACAGCAUAAAAUGAUAUGCAGUUCGGUUGGAGAUGAUCUUAUAAACACAAUUUCUUUUUGCAACCUCUUCAAUUGUUUUGAAAAUUUUAGGGUUAUAAAUUUCAUGUGGCUCCAAUACAUGUAUUUUUUUCAAUAUUUUUUUUUUCCAAGAAUGGUAUGAUUUGAAUUAGCGACCACAGAGAGAUAACCUUUCCUAAUUUUUUGCUUUCCAUCUAAUUUUUAAUGUUACUUUUCAUAAUAUUUUGAAUUCAUCAUUAGCUUGUUAUAAGAGAUUUAUCAAGAGUAUAAUAGUAACAUAAAAGUUAUUUAAAAAUUUGAAAACAUAAUUAAUUUAUGACCCAUAUCCACUUAAAAAUUAUAUGAUUCCCCAGUACAAUUCUACAUGUGUAUCACAAAUUUGCAUUUAUUUGUUAGCGUUUUGCUUACCAGUUUUUCGAUACUUAUGAAAUAAAGUAAUCUUAUUUAAUUGAUAUUGAAUGAAACAUCAUUUACUUUAUUUAAUAUUUAAUGAAUGUUAAUUCAAUAAAAAUUAAUUGUUGGGAAGUGAAUGAUUUGGUUAUAUACUUAUAUUAGAAACAAUACAUAUAAUAUGUGUGGUGAUUCAUUUUUAAUAAUUUUUGUUUUUGAAGUGUACAAAUAGUAAUUUUUAUUGUAAAUUAAUAGUUAGAGAGAUAUUAGAAGAUGCGUGCAAAAUAUUAGUUCUUUAUAUUAUAUGCACAUUGGAAAGCCAUUUAUAGUAAAUGAAGAUUUUUAAACAUAAUGUAGCAUUUUUAGAAUGGCAAAUUAUUAGAUAAGUCAAUACAUUGUUCAUUGGACAUUUUAUGCAUCUAUAUCUAUACAUAAAUAUAAAUCUUAAUAGUUAAUAUUGAAGUCAACUAAUCAUAUAUAUAUAUAUAUAUAUAUAUAUAUAGUGUAAAAUAAGAAUAAAAAUAAAAUAUGGCAACAAUAAGCCUAUUGAUUCUCCUACUUUUGUCCACAUCAAAGCCAUCAUUCAACAAGGAUGAUUAUCUUCUCAAGUUUACAUGAGUAAGGAAGCGUUAAAUGAAUGGCUACAAUUUUUCUUUCAUCUUAUUUGAGAAUGAAGAAACUUUCUUCAGUGAAAUAUAGAUGUACAUAGCAUGUAUUAUGCUCUCUAUUGGAGAAGAAAACAACACUUAUAUAUGAAUUUGAUAUUUUUUUGUAGAAUUUUUUUUUUCAAUGUUUGGAAACCAUGUAAGGUUUUUUGUAAAUAUUGAUUGCAUGUAUAAAAUUAAGCUGGUGCCCAGCUUCUUAGUAGCUGUUUUAUGGAAUUUAGAACUCUUUAGUGGCUGACGGAGAAUAGAGCUUCGGCUGAUGGGAUCGAUGGUGGUGCCUUUAUUAGAGAUCCGUGUCUCAUGCCUCAGAUCUAGAUGAUAUUGGACCAGAUCUCUUUUUCCUUGCUGUUCUUUCUGCGUUUAAAGCAGUGAUAUUCACAAGUCCCGAUGUUAUGCUGCUGGGUUGCAAUAUAAUGUUACAUUUUCACAAUUUCUGCAGAUAAAUUGAUGGUUUCAGCUUUUAAACUUUAUCCUGCUCACGCUUACAGCUUAGACAUCUGAUCUUGUUCCAGCUUCCAACAUGUUAUGAAGAUUGAAAAUGGAAUGUGCUGGUCAAUCAACUUAGACGUGACGGUCGCAUGGAUUGAAGUUUAAACUCUGAAUCGGUAACCGAAUGCUAUCAUUCUAACUGGAUGGAGAAUAAUUGAGGUUUUGAAGAACUUCGCAAGGUCUAGUAUUUUCUUCCAUGCAAAGAGAGCUUUUGAUGAAGGUGUUUGGCAAUCCUUUCUUAGGCAACCCUGUGCCCUGUCGAGCAUGCCCUAGAGGGAUAAAUUGAUGCAAAGCUUAGACAUCUGAUUUUGCUCCUGCUUCCAACAUGCUAUCAAGAUUGAAGAUGGAUUGGUAAAUCUGCUCGUUGUACUGUUGAUAUGUUCUUCAUUGUCAUUUCUAGGCCUUUGCCAUGGUGGGUGCGCUCUCAUGGCAGGCCAUCAAACCUAAUAAAAUAUAUAUUUUCUUGGUGUGUUGGUGGGGAGAUCGCACGGGGCUGGAUUUUUUUCCCCCGGGUUCUCCCCCACCUGGUCUUCUAGCUUUUUCGCUUGAUCUCUGGUUUUUCUAAUAUUGCACUCUAUGUUUAGCGUGUGGUAUAUCAACUUAGACGUGACGGCCGCAUGGAUUGAAGUCUAAAUUCUGAAUCGUUAUCCGAAUUCUAUCAUUCUAAAUGGACACGUCUGGUGAAGAAUUAAGGUUCUGAAGCACUUCACAAGGAACUCGAUCAGAUGUAAAACUUGCUUAUGUUAUAAAAAAAUCCAGUUAUUCCUUUGGUGUUUAAGUUAAAGCUAUAUUAGCCCAUUCUUUGUUUAUCGUGUUGUGGUAGCUUAUUUUUGGUAUUUCAUUUCAGUAGACUAUUUUCACCUGUUUGUUGGUUAUUGCCUUUAUUUUUAUUAUGGCCAGCUGUAUAUGUUAAUUUUUUCAUCGAUUGAGAUCUUACAAGCACCCGAUGGGUGCUUAUUAAUUGAAUCGAUGACAGGUCCUAUUUGUUAUUAAUCACACAUAACUGGAUAUUAAAGAUUUAUGAUUUGAUUCAUAGGAGAUCAUAUAUUUUUAGUAAAUUUAGUUAUUGAAUUGUAGAAAGUACAAUGUUAUCAUUGUAAACUUAUAGGCUAGGGUGAUAUUUGAAGAUGAUUAAAACACAAGUACUAAAAAUAAUAUGCAAACACUUGAAGAGGUAAUUUAUAUUUGAUUAAUGUUCUAAUAAUAUAAAUAGCAUUUGUAGGAUGACAUUAUCAGAUAUUGCAAAAGUUUUGAGAGAGUUUCUCCUAAUUUGCAAGCGAAGCAUAAAUUUUAAGGUUAUUUUUUAUUCAAUUAUAGCUGUAUAUUUUGACAUAGUACGAGUAUUAUCAGAAACCUUUGCACUGAGUGACACCUCAUGUAGAUAAAUUUGUUGUUUAUCACUGAACCUAACAAGGAGUUGGUCUGAUUGUAUAGAUUAAUAGUUUUUUGUAUAUUAUGUUUUGUUCUCCGUAGUUGGAAAAGCUUACACGCUGUGAGAUUAAAUUUAGGCUUAUUGUUCUGAGAAAUAUCUGAAAACUACGCGUAUCUGAUUUACCCUUUUAACUCUGCUAACCAUUCAACGUAUUUUGAUCAAUCAAUGUUAAUUGUUUGGAGUAAAAAAUAUGUAAAAUAAAAUUUUUUUAGUACUAUGGUCAAACGAAAGCUUUCGAUUUCUUAGUUAAUAGAAAUGGAAGCCAAGAUUAUCUCUUAUCGGCUUAUUUAAGAUAAUAUAAGGGUCGCAAUCUCAAUCAAGAUAUGCUAAGCUAUUAUUACUAUUUUUAAAAAAGUUUUAUGGUUCAAAAAUUGUCCAAAAAAAUUGUUUAAUUGAAGCUUUAAAGCAGCAGUAAGAAAGUCUUUCAAAACUAAGCUUAAAAGGUGGGGCUUUAAUUCUUCUGCAGAAAGUAUAAGAAGCAAAGUAGGUUUAAAUACCAAAACAGAAGAUAAUGUCAAACGAACUAUUCAAUCUAUGUCAAUGCAGAGUUUAAUAAUAAUUUAAAAGAAGAUAUUUUCCGCCACUUUCAGUUGCUUGAGCUUUGAUGUUGCUGAAACAAUCUGUCAUAUAUUCUUCACAGGUCUAGUAUUUUCUUCCAUGCAAAGAGAACUUUUGAUGAAGGUGGCUGUAUGACUAUCCUAUCUUAGACAGCCCUGUGCCCUGUUGACAUGCGCGAUAGAGAUAAGAGAGGGCUUGAUUGAGCCGGCGAACUCUUCACGAAGAAGAUUAGACGCAGAGAUGAAGGCGGCUGCUACUGUGAACAAGAGUAAAAAAUUAACUAGUUAUUCAUCGCAUAAGGUAAUUUCAUAGGGCUUUUCCUAAAAGUAGAAUGUCAACCAAAAUUACGUUAGCUACAGUAAAAGAUGAAU